Molecule: long non-coding RNA, 491 nt
Organism: Micropterus dolomieu (smallmouth bass)
Lineage: Eukaryota; Metazoa; Chordata; Actinopteri; Centrarchiformes; Centrarchidae
Exons: 4
Source: RefSeq, a predicted model, not a curated record
CGGAUGGUGAACUUGUGGGACACUUUGGUCCACUGCUCCCGAUUUGCUGCCACUCUCUCGUACAGCUCAGUGGCCCCAGGAAAGAGUUCAGAUAGUAGCCUAAAAGGACAGAGGACAGUGGUUGCACCCCUUGGUUUGAUCUGACAGGUCACAUGAUGUCAUCAACAGGCACAGCAGCAUGGAGCGACAGGUGUCAUUGCAUCUGGACCAAGCCUCUCUUUGCUGUUCAGGGUUGUGCUGGAGGGUUGUGCAUGAUUAGAGUGGAGCAGAGCAUUUUGCUUCUCAUCACAAUCACAUCUGUUGCUUCACCGUGGCGAUUUCACAGAUGAAGAGAUACAACCGUAGACUGUGAUAUCACUAUGAGACACCCAGAGCCUGGCUCUGUGCUCUAUCCUCCAUCUAAACAUCCAUUUUUAGUCUGCAUUUUUUAAACUGCAGGUGCAGUGCUGCUCUAUCACACUCCACGUGUUUGGGAGGUUUAAUGUUUUUAU